Molecule: ribosomal RNA, 250 nt
Filed under: uncultured bacterium
Lineage: Bacteria
Description: partial 16S ribosomal RNA
Rfam family: Bacterial small subunit ribosomal RNA
Source: RNAcentral
GAUCCUGGCUCAGGAUGAAUGCUGGCGGCGUGCCUAACACAUGCAAGUCGAGCGGCAGCGCGAAUAGUUUACUAUUUGGCGGCGAGCGGCGGACGGCUGAGUAACGCGUGGGAAUCUACCCCAAAGUGAGGGAUAACUGCCCGAAAGGGUGGCUAAUACCGCAUAUGGUCUUCGGAUUAAAGGAUUUAUCUGCUUUGGGAGGAGCCCGCGUCGGAUUAGGUAGUUGGUAGGGUAAUGGCCUACAGCAACG